GACGAACGCCGGCGGCGUGCUUAACACAUGCAAGUCGAACGGAAAGGCCCUGCUUUUGUGGGGUGCUCGAGUGGCGAACGGGUGAGUAACACGUGAGUAACCUGCCCUUGACUUUGGGAUAACUUCAGGAAACUGGGGCUAAUACCGGAUAGGAGCUCCUGCUGCAUGGUGGGGGUUGGAAAGUUUCGGCGGUUGGGGAUGGACUCGCGGCUUGUCAGCUUGUUGGUGGGGUAGUGGCUUACCAAGGCUUUGACGGGUAGCCGGCCUGAGAGGGUGACCGGCCACAUUGGGACUGAGAUACGGCCCAGACUCCUACGGGAGGCAGCAGUGGGGAAUAUUGCACAAUGGGCGGAAGCCUGAUGCAGCAACGCCGCGUGCGGGAUGACGGCCUUCGGGUUGUAAACCGCUUUCGCCUGUGACGAAGCGUGAGUGACGGUAAUGGGUAAAGAAGCACCGGCUAACUACGUG
This 468-nucleotide ribosomal RNA is filed under the name uncultured bacterium. RNAcentral's name for it is "partial 16S ribosomal RNA". It matches the Rfam family "Bacterial small subunit ribosomal RNA", at positions 28 to 507 of the family's 1533-position model. The record is from RNAcentral.